RNAcentral lists this long non-coding RNA (1334 nucleotides) under Manacus vitellinus (golden-collared manakin). RNAcentral's name for it is "lncRNA (ENSMVIG00005012643.1)". Lineage: Eukaryota; Metazoa; Chordata; Aves; Passeriformes; Pipridae. The record is from RNAcentral.
CUGAAAUGCUUCAUGCUCCUUUAUUUACUCAUUUUUUUAUUAUUUCAGCCAUGUCAUCCCAGCUGCUUCACACAGAUUAGAUUAUAUAAGAAAGCAUUUCACUGAAUCCUUAGCACUUCCUGUGCUUUGCAGUCUCUUGAAGUUCAUGAGGGGAACUGAGACAAGGACAAGAUUGAGAAGGAGAGGAGAAAAAGUCCGGAUCAAAGACCCCAUGAAAGCAUGCAUGAGAAACUGAUGAGCAUGGAUGGAGAAACAGAGAUGAAGAAGAGACAAAAAUGGGAAACUCAGAAAUGGACAUGGAGAAAGCUGUGGAGUGAAAGAAUGGCAACCCUGUGGGAAGAACCUAAGUAUAUGACCACAAGCAAAAAUGUCUUUCAAUUGUGGGUGUUCAUAUACAGUUUGUGAAAUUCAAACUUGUUUUUCCUCAUAAUGUCUCUACUAUAGAGAAAAGUUAUGAUUUUUCAAAGAAAUCUCGUGCAAUUAAAGCAGCGACUGAUGCAUGUCCUUGGCUAUCAUAGGUAUGCAAUAUUAUCAAAAGAGAGUGGGAGAAAUAACUAGUUUAUGUAUUGUCCUGUAACAUAAAUUAGCAAAAUACUUUUAUGGCAUGUAGGAAAAUGUACAGAGAGAUCCAGGGAAAGCAUCUCUUAAAUUACCAGUUUACUUUCUAGUUUUGAUAGAUUAUGUUAUGCUAUUUUCAAUUCCAGUUGUUCCCAGUUCUUUUUCUUAGCCUGCCCUGUUGGGUGAUAUGAAAACUACAAAAAACUGUACAGUGAUGAUUUACUGUAGGUAGCACAGAGAUACAGCUUUAAAAAAGAAAAGCAAAAGCAAAAAGAACUGGCUAUUUCUGUCUAUUUCUGUGUAUCUUGUUUUCUCAUUCUAUUAGCUGAAUGUUAAUGUUUAAAAAGGAGCAAGAGUUUAUGUUCAGAAUCUCUGCUCUCGGAUGCAUACUCCGAGAAAUUAUCAUGUUAACCCAUUUGAAACAAAAGUCGUUUUAAAGCUCAGUCAUAUGGUACAUGGCAGUUGAGAGUUGUGAAAGAGACCACCAAGUGUACACAUAUGGUCAACAUAAGCGUAUCAGGCUUUAGGAUGCUCUUCUUUCCACUAACUGCCAUCAACAAUGUUUUUAAUUUUUAAGUUCCCGUCUGUGGGUGUGGGACGAUGCUGGGGUUUGGAAGUUGUUAACUCACUUGUCUACCAUUGGUUUCUGUGUUGCCAUAGUUAUUAUAUUGUCUCCUUGCACUGGCUAGCCAAAUGGCCAAUCCCCUCUUUGGCCCAGCAGCCCUUAUAAGCUGCGGGAAAUUUGAAUAAAGUCUCUUCUUCACUACUGGAUUCCC